Nematostella vectensis (starlet sea anemone) is the source of this 73-nucleotide non-coding RNA. The record is from Rfam. Lineage: Eukaryota; Metazoa; Cnidaria; Anthozoa; Actiniaria; Edwardsiidae.
GCCCGGUUACCUCAGAUGGUAGAGCAUCAGACUUUUAAUCUGAGGGUCAUGGGUUCGAGCCCCAUAUCGGGCG